Molecule: long non-coding RNA, 1614 nt
Organism: Physeter macrocephalus (sperm whale)
Lineage: Eukaryota; Metazoa; Chordata; Mammalia; Artiodactyla; Physeteridae
Exons: 3
Source: RefSeq, a predicted model, not a curated record
GUUGCUUCGUUCGUCUCCCUGAGAAAAGUGAGCCGCGCUUCCGACGGAGUUUCCUGUCAGGAAGCGCCGCGAGGGGAGCGGCGUCUCGCGUGCUCCCGGGACUAGCGCCCGACACGCCCUCGCGUCCCAUUGGGUCGCGGCAUCCGGGCGGGGGGCCUCUGGCGUCCGUGUAGGGGUUUGCUCGCCGGUGACCCGCCGACCCUUUCCAAGUCCAGUCCCUCGAGGCAGAUCCCGCGCUCGUGGCCACCGCGGUCCCGGCUCCGAAUGCGCGUGCCGGGGGAUCCCGGCGUAAACUGCAUUUUACAACCGAAGUGCCGCAGACCGAUGCCCUUUUUCCUCUUCGCCUCGAGCUUGUGCGGCAGAGACCGGAGCUGGGAAGGCGCCUUCCUCUGGCCGACUGAGGGGGAGACCUAAGCUCCCCCCUCCCCGGAGGUCCGUUACCCGCGGAGAGCGCGCUCAGCACCUGGAGCAGAGCCCCGCGUGGCCGGCUGCACGGUGCUAUGCCCGCAGAGAUCCCAGGCACCCAGCUCAAAAGAUCACAGUUGUGCUCAAGUUCGGUGUCAGAAUACACAGACAUCCACCUUGUAAAAGUAGGAAGGAGGCACACCGGCCAGGGAGGAGCAACCACUCCGAAAGAGGGGACACAGGUUCGAUCCCUGGUCCGGGAAGAUCCCACAUGCAGCGGAGCAACUAAGCCCGUGUGCCGUAACUACUGAGCCUGCGCUCUAGAGCCCGUGAGCCACAACUACUGAGCCCACGUGCCACAACUACUGAAGCCUGCACGCCUAGAGCCCGUGCUCUGCAACAAGAGAAGCCACCGCAAUGAGAAGCCUGCGCACCGCAACGAAGAGUAGCCCCCCACUCGCCCCAACUAGAGAAAACCCGCGCAGCAACGAAGACCCAACACAGCCAAAAAUAAAAUAAAUUUAAAAAAAAAAAAGAUAUUUCACACCUUCUCCCCGCAAAUAGCCAUGCCCCUUUGCAGUCAACCCCUCCCUCCAGACCCUGGAUCCUAACAACUACUAACUCGCUUUUCUCUCUGCUGUAGUUUUCCCUUUUCUAGAAUCCCACAUAAAUGUAAUCAUGCAGUAUGAAAUCUUUUGUUGUCUGCCUGCUUUCACAUAGAUUCAUGCAUGUUUUUAUAUGGAUCUGUAGUUUUUCCUCUUUGUUGUUUAGUAGUGUUCCAUUAUAUGGAUAUAUCAAUAUAAUUUGUUUAUUCACCAGGUGAUGGACAUUUGGGUUGUGUCCAGUUUUUCGCUAUUACAAAGAAAAUGCUAUGAACAUCGAUAUUCAAGUUUUUGUGUAUAGUGCAUAUGUUUUUUUCUUGGAUAAAUAUCCAGAAGUGAUAUUUCUGGGUCAUAUGGUUAAUGUAUGUUUAUUUUUUUUUAAUGCAAAACAGUUUUCCAAAGUGGCCAUAUUAUUUUGCUUUCCCAUCUGCAAUGUUUGAGAGUUCCAGUAUUCUACAUUGUUGCCAACACUUGAUAUUAUCAGUUUUUAAAAAUUUUUGGCCUUUUGUGUAGGUAGAGUGGUAUCUCAUUGUAGUUUGACUAGCAUUUCUUAAUGAUAAAUAAUAAUUGAGCAUCCUGUCAUGUGCUUAUUUUCAAUUUGUAUGUC